AACUGUUUUAAAAAUGUGUUGCAAAGUUUUUGGAUUAUUUUGAUGGGGAAUGUUUGUAAUGUUUUUAAUUUGAUUCAGAUGUAGUUUAAAUAUAUUUCAGGUCGUUCUGUGUGAUUCUCUCUCUGUGUGCUGAUGUGCAUGAGAGGCUUCUUAAAGGGAAGUGAAACAAUGUGUGAGUGAGUGACCGGUGGAGCAGAAAGAAACAUCUGACAGAAACUCCUAAAAAAAGAAAAUCAACUCUCAGACAUUAAAGGUGUCCUAUAGGGUGUGGUGUUUGAUUGACAGCUGUGUGCUCCCUGUCCUCUAAUCUGAUUGGUGUCUCCUAUAGGUGAUGUGCGUCCCACCCUGACGGUGCUGCCCCCCUCCAAUGAGGAGCUGGAGCAGGGGAAGGCCACGCUCAUGUGUCUGGCCAACAAGGGCUUCCCCUCAGGCUGGAGUCUGGCCUGGAACGUGGACGGCAGCAGCAGCAGCAGCAGCAGCAGCUGGGAGGAGAGCAGGAGCCCUGCGGUGCUGGAAAGGGACGCUCUCUACAGCUGGAGCAGCACCCUGAGGCUCUCUGCAGACCAGUGGAGGAAGGUGGGCUCUGUGACCUGUGAAGCCACCCAGGGCGCCCAGGCUCGAGUCACAGAAAGUCUGAGUAGAGACCAGUGUUCCCAGUAAUGACUCACUGGGACUCUGCUGCUGGUUUUACUGUGAUACUGCUCUCACUCUGCACCUCUCUCUCUCUUUAUUUCAUGUUUCUAAAGAAUAAAUAUUAGCUUGUUGCUUCA
Molecule: non-coding RNA, 770 nt
Organism: Labrus mixtus (cuckoo wrasse)
Lineage: Eukaryota; Metazoa; Chordata; Actinopteri; Labriformes; Labridae
Source: the annotation of a RefSeq genome assembly